AUUGAACGCUGGCGGCAUGCCUUACACAUGCAAGUCGAACGGCAGCAUGAUCUCGCUUGCUAGAUUGAUGGCGAGUGGCGAACGGGUGAGUAAUACAUCGGAACGUGCCCUGUAGUGGGGGAUAACUAGUCGAAAGAUUAGCUAAUACCGCAUACGACCUGAGGGUGAAAGUGGGGGACCGCAAGGCCUCAUGCUAUAGGAGCGGCCGAUGUCUGAUUAGCUAGUUGGUGAGGUAAAGGCUCACCAAGGCGACGAUCAGUAGCUGGUCUGAGAGGACGAUCAGCCACACUGGGACUGAGACACGGCCCAGACUCCUACGGGAGGCAGCAGUGGGGAAUUUUGGACAAUGGGCGAAAGCCUGAUCCAGCAAUGCCGCGUGUGUGAAGAAGGCCGUCGGGUUGUAAAGCACUUUUGUCCGGAAAGAAAUGGCUCUGGUUAAUACCUGGGGUCGAUGACGGUACCGGAAGAAUAAGGACCGGCUAACUACG
This 488-nucleotide ribosomal RNA is filed under the name uncultured bacterium. RNAcentral's name for it is "partial 16S ribosomal RNA". It matches the Rfam family "Bacterial small subunit ribosomal RNA", at positions 30 to 505 of the family's 1533-position model. The record is from RNAcentral.